AGAGCGAACGCUGGCGGCAGGCCUAACACAUGCAAGUCGAACGGACCCUUCGGGGUUAGUGGCGGACGGGUGAGUAACACGUGGGAACGUGCCUUUUGGUUCGGAAUAGCUCCUGGAAACGGGUGGUAAUGCCGAAUGUGCCCUUCGGGGGAAAGAUUUAUCGCCAUUAGAGCGGCCCGCGUCUGAUUAGCUAGUUGGUGAGGUAAUGGCUCACCAAGGCGACGAUCAGUAGCUGGUCUGAGAGGAUGACCAGCCACAUUGGGACUGAGACACGGCCCAAACUCCUACGGGAGGCAGCAGUGGGGAAUCUUGCGCAAUGGGCGAAAGCCUGACGCAGCCAUGCCGCGUGAAUGAUGAAGGUCUUAGGAUUGUAAAAUUCUUUCACCGGGACGAUAAUGACGGUACCCGGAGAAGAAGCCCCGGCUAACUUGUGCCAGCAGCCGC
Molecule: ribosomal RNA, 444 nt
Filed under: uncultured soil bacterium
Lineage: Bacteria
Description: bacterial SSU rRNA
Rfam family: Bacterial small subunit ribosomal RNA
Source: RNAcentral